This 3059-nucleotide ribosomal RNA is filed under the name Actinobacteria bacterium IMCC26207. RNAcentral's name for it is "Bacterial large subunit ribosomal RNA". It matches the Rfam family "Bacterial large subunit ribosomal RNA". The record is from Rfam by way of RNAcentral. Lineage: Bacteria; Bacillati; Actinomycetota; Actinomycetes.
ACCCAAGUUAUAAAGGGCCAACGGUGGAUGCCUUGGCGACAGGAACCGAUGAAGGACGUGGGAGGCUGCGAAAAGCUACGGGGAGGUGCCUACCAACCUUCGAUCCGUAGAUAUCCGAAUGGGGAAACCCCACACCCGUCAUGGGGUGUGACUCCCGCCUGAACACAUAGGGCGGGUAGAGGGAACCACGGGAAUUGAAACAUCUCAGUACCGUGAGGAAAAGAAAACAAAAGUGAUUCCGUCAGUAGCGGCGAGCGAACGCGGAACAGCCUAAACCGAACUGGUGUGAUAGCCCUACGGCGUUGCCAGUUCGGGGUUGUGGGACAUGGUAAAGGGCGCGUAGGCCCCUUACAGAGUUACAAAAUUGCUAGAUAGUGGAAGUGAUUGGAAAGUCACGCCAUAGAGGGUAACGGCCCCGUACACGAAAUCUAUGCAAUCUCUGAUCAUUGCUCCCGAGUAACGCCGAAUCCGAGAAAGUCGGCGUGAAUCAGCGAGGACCACCUCGUAAGGCUAAAUAUUCCCUGUCGACCGAUAGUGAACUAGUACCGUGAGGGAAAGGUGAAAAGUACCCCGGGAGGGGAGUGAAAUAGUACCUGAAACCGUUGGUCUACAAGCAGUCAAAGCCGUCUUCGGGCGGCGAUGGCGUGCCUUUUGAAGAAUGAGCCAACGAGUUACGGUAUGUGGCAAGGUUAACCCGUGAGGGGCAGCCGGAGCGAAAGCGAGUCUUAAUAGGGCGUAUAGUCGCAUGCUGUAGACCCGAAGCCGGGUGAUCUAUCCAUGGGCAGUGUGAAGCGAGGGUAAGACCUCGUGGAGGCGCGAACCGACCUAGGUUGAAAACUGGGCGGAUGACCUGUGGAUAGGGGUGAAAGGCCAAGCAAACCCGGUGAUAGCUGGUUCUCCGCGAAAUGCAUUUAGGUGCAGCGUUGCGUGUUCAUCCAUGGAGGUAGAGCACUGGAUGGGUUAGGGGGCCUACAAGCUUACCGACCCCAACCAAACUCCGAAUGCCAUGGAUCCAGAGCGCAGCAGUGAGACCCCGGGGGAUGAGCUUCGGGGUCGAGAGGGAAACAGCCCAGACCGUCGGCUAAGGUCCCAAAAUUCAGACUAAGUGGUAAACGAUGUGAGAUCGCAAAGACAGCCAGGAGGUUGGCUCAGAAGCAGCCACCCUUAAAAGAGUGCGUAACAGCUCACUGGUCGAGUGGUCUUGCGCGGACAAUGUAACGGGGCUCAAGUCUGAUACCGAAGCCACGGGUGCGUAUUUAUACGCGCGGUAGCGGAGCGUCGAUCUCGCUGAGAAGCGGCAGGGUAACCGGUCGUGGAGCGUGGUCGAGUGAGAAUGUUGGCAUGAGUAGCGAAAGAGGGGUGAGAAGCCCCUCCGCCGAAAGUCCAAGGGUUCCUGGGGAAGGCUAAUCCACCCAGGGUAAGUCGGGAGCUAAGGCGAGGCCGAGAGGCGUAGUCGAUGCACAACUGGUUGAUAUUCCAGUACCACUACAAGCGCGCCAAUUCCAAUUUCAGGUUGCUAAGGGGCUGACCGGGCGUUUACGCCUGACUCGAACCGACCCACCAGAAGGAGGAAAGCCGUAGGGGGACGCAGGAAGGUAGAUGAACCCGGGCGAUGGUUGUCCCGGGGUAAGCGUGUAGGGCGAGGUCUAGGCAAAUCCGGACCUCAUGAAGCCUGAGACGUGAUACGGACCCGAUUCAGGGGAAGUCAUUGAUCCUAUGCUGCCUAGAAAAGCCCAGCGGUGAGUUCUUGUGGUGCCCGUACCCCAAACCAACACAGGUGGACAGGUAGAGAAUACCAAGGUGAUUGAGAUAACUCUGGUUAAGGAACUCGGCAAAAUGCCUCCGUAACUUCGGGAGAAGGAGGACCUCGUGAUGGUGACGGCACUUGCUGCCCGAGCUUGAAGAGGUGGCACAAAAUUGUGGGGAGCGACUGUUUACUAAAAACACAGCAGCGUGCUAAGCCGUAAGGCGCUGUAUACGCUGUGACGCCUGCCCGGUGCUGGAAGGUUACGGGGAAGGGUUAGUCUUCGGACGAAGCUCUGAACCUAAGCCCCAGUAAACGGCGGCCGUAACUAUAACGGUCCUAAGGUAGCGAAAUUCCUUGUCGGGUAAGUUCCGACCUGCACGAAUGGCGUAACGACUCCCCAACUGUCUCAACCAGAGACUCAGCGAAAUUGAAGUACGAGUAAAGAUGCUCGUUAGCUGCAGAAGGACGGAAAGACCCCGUGGACCUUUACUAUAACUUGAUGUUGGGUUUUGUCAUGCGUUGUGUAGGAUAGGUGGGAGACUGGGAAGCAUUGGCGCCAGCUAGUGUGGAGUCAACCUUGAAAUACCACCCUGCGUAUGGCGAGGCUCUAACCCAGACCCGUUAUCCGGGUCGGGAACAGCGUCAGGCGGGUAGUUUGACUGGGGCGGUCGCCUCCUAAAAUGUAACGGAGGCGCUCAAAGGUUCCCUCAGCCUGGUUGGCAAUCAGGCGUCGAGUGCAAUGGCAAAAGGGAGCUUGACUGCGAGACCGACAGGUCGAGCAGGAGCGAAAGCUGGACAUAGUGAUCCGGCGGUUGCGUGUGGAAGCGCCGUCGCUCAACGGAUAAAAGGUACCCCGGGGAUAACAGGCUAAUCUUCCCCAAGAGUCCAUAUCGACGGGAAGGUUUGGCACCUCGAUGUCGGCUCAUCGCAUCCUGGGGCUGAAGCAGGUCCCAAGGGUUGGGCUGUUCGCCCAUUAAAGCGGUACGCGAGCUGGGUUUAGAACGUCGUGAGACAGUUCGGUCCCUAUCCUCUGCAGCCGUAGGUAAAUUGAGGAAAGCUAUCCCUAGUACGAGAGGACCGGGAUGGACGUAGCUCUAGUGUGCCAGUUGUCCUGCCAAGGGCAUGGCUGGUUGGCUACCUACGGACGGGAUAACCGCUGAAAGCAUCUAAGCGGGAAGCCUCUUCCAAGAUGAAUUUACCCACAGGGUUAACCUGGUAAGGCCCGUGGCAGAACACCACGUUGAUAGGCCGGAAGUGUAAGCGCAGUAAUGCGUUCAGCUGACCGGUACUAAUCGGCCGAGGGCUUGGGUUU